This 253-nucleotide ribosomal RNA is filed under the name uncultured bacterium. Its description in RNAcentral is "partial 16S ribosomal RNA". It matches the Rfam family "Bacterial small subunit ribosomal RNA", at positions 524 to 776 of the family's 1533-position model. The record is from RNAcentral.
UACAGAGGUCUCAAGCGUUGUUCGGAUUCAUUGGGCGUAAAGGGCGCGUAGGCGGCGGGGUAAGUCGGGUGUGAAAUCUCAGAGCUCAACUCUGAAACUGCACUCGAUACUGCUCUGCUUGAGGACUGGAGAGGAGACUGGAAUUCACGGUGUAGCAGUGAAAUGCGUAGAUAUCUGAAGGAACAUCAGUGGCGAAAGCGACUUCCUGGACCAAUACUGACGCUCAUGUGCGAAAGCGUGGGGAGCAAACAGG